Molecule: long non-coding RNA, 550 nt
Filed under: Heterocephalus glaber (naked mole-rat)
Lineage: Eukaryota; Metazoa; Chordata; Mammalia; Rodentia; Bathyergidae
Description: lncRNA (ENSHGLG00000043884.1)
Source: RNAcentral
CCUCCCUACCCGGACUGUGGGGGGCACCGCCGGGGGACAGACACCCAGCAGGUAACCCCAGCCUGGCUCGCCCUCCCUCUCUGAUUUUCCUCCACACCCUCCCGGAUGACCCCUUUCCCCCUUUUCUGUCUCCCGGAUUUUCUCAGUGUUGCCUCUUUCCGAGUCGUCCUUGUUUCAUCUCCCCCCACUUGGGCUUGUUGCCUGCUGGCCGCGCCACCAGCCGUCUCGUGCAGCCUGGCUCUUCCCCUCGCCCCACAGCCUGUGCGCCCCAGGCCAGGCCUUCUGCAGCACUUCUUCCCUCCAAUACAACCGCCACACAAAUACUAUCAACUACAGGAAUACAUCCCCUCUUCCCUAGUUCUACAUUCUCCUCCCUGUCUGGGAGAGUUCCAGCCUCAAGAACCCUUUUCCAGCAGAAGGGCCUUGCCUGUUUGGCUUUCCCAGACUGCAGCUGACCACAACCCUGGUGAGGGGCUUUGCUUGGGUUACAAAUAACACUUCCUUGGGGGCAGUGUCAUCAGCAGCCACAGAAGAUUGCGGCAUAUUGCAU